CCCAAAUACAAAUUCUGAAGGCCAAACCAAAUAAUGCUUUCCAUUUAAAUAAAGUAAACACUCACAAUUUCCUUUUCUUACAAAAGAAACAAUGAAAGAAACCAGACAAGUGGUGGUGAUGUGGACUUUAUCCCUGCAGGCUGAAUGUAAGGAUAGGAUCAGUUUUCUGAGAUGAAAGGAAGGUAUGAGAACGUGAAGCAUACAUGUAUUCGCUUUCUCCGCCAUGAGCACAAGUUGUUUUUUCUCGAACAAUGCAAGAGAGCUGCGUGUCAACAGAACAAGAUAGAAAAGAGCGUACAACGAGUUCGGUUAAGGACCAAAACCCGAGUACAAAGAGUCAAAGACCCAUACCCACACACUCACAAGAAAGAGGAGUUUCCAUGUUUCCCAGAUUCUAUUAUUUGUUUAUUACUCUUAGUCUAUUGUUGGCUGUAACUUUUACUUCUUCAGUUAAGGUUGAAAUUCAGUACCCUUCGACAUUUUCUGCUUUUCUUCAGUCUAUUUGAUUGUCCAUCAGACAUUGCAUCCAGGCUCCUUACACCAUGCAGUUGGUGGAUAUGAACAGGGUAAAGAAGGGAAUAUAUCCUAUUUUCCAUUUACUUUCCUUUUGUGUUGAUUAGUUGCUUGAAAACUUUACAAAUGCUACUCAGAUAGGUAAACUUAAACAGUCAUUUGGUUGAGUUUUUUGAAGGCUCAUGUUCUGAUGCAGUUCGAGGUCAAAAGUUUGCAGAGUUAUUUCCCAGUUACCAAGAUCAAUGACUGACUUAUUAGGAUGAUAAAAAGUAUAUGGUCAAAGGGAUGAUAUGAUUGAAUUGAAAUUGUUGUCAAGACUCGACCACGGUCAUCCAGGUUAGUUAGCAUUUGGCACAGCAAUAUGCCUUGACAUAAAUAAAGAAAAGGAGACAGAUUGAGAGUUGGUAUAGUGCUGUUGAGGGGUUGCUUUCAGCACUUUCUCUUUCUGAAUGCCACCAAGCUCCCUGUCCAUGCAAUUUAUACCAGUGCUGCCGUUAUUUGCUUUCGUGAUAUGCAUAUGAAGAUGUGGCCUUGUUUUUGGCAGUGGCAGUAAUUUCUGAUUACAUUAUCACGCACGAUUGUCUUCAAAUUUUGCAUGGAAGUACAUGCUUAAGGUUCUUCUGCUUGGCAUUUUCAGUAAUUAUUACCCUUGUAUUCUUGAAAAAAAAAUCUAAUUUCUGUAUAUGAUUGGUUAUAGGCUUGACUCGCAAGCGUGCAGGUUGAUGAGUGGUGGUAUUAGGCAUGAAUUGAUGCUUCUUGAUCAAGCAAGAAACAGACUUUUGGCUGCCUAUUCUGCCUAACACAUGACCUCAUGCUGUCAAGCAGCAUCUGUCGCUUCACUAGUCAAUCCAAAGAAGUUGUUAUGUCUCUCAAAAUCUUAUCCAAUCAACUACCCAACCGAAUUAACAGUUUGAUGGAUGCUUGUCUACAACGCGCAGCAUAUAUUGGAUUCUUUUUUUCCCUUUCUUGAAAUGGUGCACAUAUUGUACCUCAAUCAGUUAUGGGAUCAGUUCCAAAACUGUGCUAGAAUUUCUGUUGAGAUAGCUAGUGCGUAUUCUGGCUAUUGUAAAUUUCUUGUGAGAGAUGAGCGUAUGCCAGCUUGUUUUUUUUUUUAAAAAAAUGAUUGAAAUGUCUGCAUGAAGGGAAAUGCUUUUAAAAUCAAACUUACAAUAUCUGUGCCUACCUGUUAUCGCCUCAUGGGCCAUGGCUAGGAACAUGAUAGAAAAAACAAUACACAUCAUACCAUCAUCAUGAAAAGGAAACUUCUUUACAUGGUCCCAUACCCUUCUCUAAACAUAAUGCUUGUGUUUCAAGCGUGCCUUUUGCUACUCUCAUCUGCCUGUUCAUCAUUUCCUUCAUAUCUCAAGCCUAAUUUCAGGUUCCUUCCUUUCUUGAACAACAAUCCUUCGCAUCUUUUACAAUGGUGAUGAGCGAUGAGUUGGAGUUGUUGGCCUUGGCACGUGCGGCCAAACCGAGGGAUCCCACGGUUGUCAAUUGCUGUGCUGGCGUUGUCUGUCUUUGGGUCCUAGUCCUAGGCCAGUUUCCAAACAUGGCGUCCCGGAACGGCGGAACCCCACACCAGCUGCACAUGAAAGUACUGUGCUCACUGUUCACACUUCCAUCCAGAGUUGCAUGAAGGUACUGUGCUUCCAAAGUAUUGGAUAGAGUUUCGAUACGGCAUGUGCUGUGCAGCGCAUCUCUUGAGCAUUUCACAUUUUUGGCGACGAUAAUGUUUAUCUUCUUUCUUUUCGGGGAAGUGUUCCUAAUUCCA
This is a long non-coding RNA of Setaria italica (foxtail millet), 2284 nucleotides long. RefSeq lists it as uncharacterized. The record is from RefSeq and is a predicted model, not a curated record. The transcript is spliced from 2 exons. Lineage: Eukaryota; Viridiplantae; Streptophyta; Magnoliopsida; Poales; Poaceae.